AGCUCAGAUUGAACGCUGGCGGCAGGCCUAACACAUGCAAGUCGAGCGGAUGACGGGAGCUUGCUCCUUGAUUCAGCGGCGGACGGGUGAGUAAUGCCUAGGAAUCUGCCUGGUAGUGGGGGACAACGUUUCGAAAGGAACGCUAAUACCGCAUACGUCCUACGGGAGAAAGCAGGGGACCUUCGGGCCUUGCGCUAUCAGAUGAGCCUAGGUCGGAUUAGCUAGUUGGUGGGGUAAUGGCUCACCAAGGCGACGAUCCGUAACUGGUCUGAGAGGAUGAUCAGUCACACUGGAACUGAGACACGGUCCAGACUCCUACGGGAGGCAGCAGUGGGGAAUAUUGGACAAUGGGCGAAAGCCUGAUCCAGCCAUGCCGCGUGUGUGAAGAAGGUCUUCGGAUUGUAAAGCACUUUAAGUUGGGAGGAAGGGCAGUAAGUUAAUACCUUGCUGUUUUGACGUUACCGACAGAAUAAGCACCGGCUAACUCUGUGCCAGCAGCCGCGGUAAUACAGAGGGUGCAAGCGUUAAUCGGAAUUACUGGGCGUAAAGCGCGCGUAGGUGGUUCGUUAAGUUGGAUGUGAAAGCCCCGGGCUCAACCUGGGAACUGCAUCCAAAACUGGCGAGCUAGAGUACGGUAGAGGGUGGUGGAAUUUCCUGUGUAGCGGUGAAAUGCGUAGAUAUAGGAAGGAACACCAGUGGCGAAGGCGACCACCUGGACUGAUACUGACACUGAGUGCGAAA
This 741-nucleotide ribosomal RNA is filed under the name Pseudomonas plecoglossicida. RNAcentral describes it as "bacterial SSU rRNA". It matches the Rfam family "Bacterial small subunit ribosomal RNA", at positions 21 to 758 of the family's 1533-position model. Lineage: Bacteria; Pseudomonadati; Pseudomonadota; Gammaproteobacteria; Pseudomonadales; Pseudomonadaceae. The record is from RNAcentral.